UGGGAUUGCAGCCAUCUAGGAGAAGCU
RNAcentral lists this non-coding RNA (27 nucleotides) under Rattus norvegicus (Norway rat). Lineage: Eukaryota; Metazoa; Chordata; Mammalia; Rodentia; Muridae. The record is from RNAcentral.